AAACCCCCUCGCCGAAAGACUAAGGUUUCCUGAUCAACGCUAAUCGGAUCAGGGUUAGUCGGGUCCUAAGGCUCAGCCGAACGGUGAGGCCGAUGGCAGAACAGGUUAAUAUUCCUGUACUACCUUAAGGAGUGACGUGGAGACGGAGUCGUGACAACGCCGCGGACUGACGGAAUAGUCCGUUGAAGGGUGUAGAUGUUGAUUGUGGCAGGCAAAUCCACCACGAGAGUCGAACCUGAUAGUAUACCAAUUCCUUCGGGAAACGGUAAUAGUGCGUGUAAACAUACUCCCGAGAAAAUCCGCUAAACUUAAUCCUUGAGGUACCCGUACCGCAAACGGACACACGUAGUCGGGUUGAAUAUACUAAGGCGCUUGAGUGAUUCACGGUUAAGGAACUAGGCAAAUUGACCCUGUAACUUCGGGAUAAAGGGUCCCAACGAGAGUUGGGCGCAGAGAAUAGGUCCAGGCAACUGUUUAACAAAAACACAGGGCUGUGCCAAAUUGAAAGAUCACGUAUACAGCCUGACACCUGCCCGGUGCUGGAAGGUUAAGAGGAGAUGUCAUCGCAAGAGAAGCGUUGAAUUGAAGCCCCAGUAAACGGCGGCCGUAACUAUAACGGUCCUAAGGUAGCGAAAUUCCUUGUCGGGUAAGUUCCGACCUGCACGAAUGGUGUAAUGAUCUGGACACUGUCUCAACCGUGAGCUCAGUGAAAUUGUAGUAUCGGUGAAGAUGCCGAUUACCCGCGAUGGGACGAAAAGACCCCGUGAACCUUUACUAUAGCUUAACAUUGAAUUUGGGUAAUUGAUGUGUAGGAUAGGCCGGAGACUUUGAAGCAGGUACGCCAGUAUUUGUGGAGUCGCUGUUGAAAUACGGCCCUUUGAUUAUUUGAGUUCUAACUCGUAGAUGCGAGGACACUGUUUGGUGGGUAGUUUGACUGGGGUGGUCGCCUCCAAAAGUGUAACGGAGGCUUCUAAAGGUGCCCUCAGGACGAUUGGUAACCGUCCGUAGAGUGUAAUGGCAUAAGGGCGCUUGACUGGGAGACAUACAAGUCGAUCAGGUAGGAAACUAGAGCAUAGUGAUCCGGUGUUUCCGCAUGGAAGGGACAUCGCUCAAAGGAUAAAAGGUACUCCGGGGAUAACAGGCUGAUC
This 1148-nucleotide ribosomal RNA is filed under the name human gut metagenome. RNAcentral describes it as "bacterial LSU rRNA". It matches the Rfam family "Bacterial large subunit ribosomal RNA", at positions 1326 to 2487 of the family's 2925-position model. The record is from RNAcentral.